UACAGAGGUGGCAAGCGUUGUUCGGAUUUAUUGGGCGUAAAGGGUCCGUAGGCGGCUUAGAAAGUCGGAUGUGAAAUCCCACGGCUUAACCGUGGAACUGCAUUCGAAACUUCUAAGCUCGAGUGUGAGAGGGGCAAAGGGAAUUCCCGGUGUAAGAGUGAAAUCUGUAGAGAUCGGGAGGAACACCAGUCGCGUAGGCGCUUUGCUGGCUCACUACUGACGCUGAGGGGCGAAAGCCAGGGGAGCAAACGGG
Molecule: ribosomal RNA, 253 nt
Filed under: uncultured bacterium
Lineage: Bacteria
Description: partial 16S ribosomal RNA
Rfam family: Bacterial small subunit ribosomal RNA
Source: RNAcentral